Long non-coding RNA from Amaranthus tricolor (Joseph's coat), 2238 nucleotides. RefSeq lists it as uncharacterized. The record is from RefSeq and is a predicted model, not a curated record. The transcript is spliced from 2 exons. Lineage: Eukaryota; Viridiplantae; Streptophyta; Magnoliopsida; Caryophyllales; Amaranthaceae.
GUAGAAGGAAGAGUCAAAGAAGAAAGAGAGAGAAAGUAAAGACCAUAACCUCCAAUUGACACAAGUUUUACUCUUAUAUAUAGCCCUAAAAACUUGUGAGUUAUUUCCCAUAACUCAACUUUCCUCUGAAACAAAAGAUGUUCAUUGGCCAUUUUGUUAAAAGAUCCCACCUUUUCUAUCCGAUCUUGCAUAAUUCUCAGGUAUAAAUUUCUUAUAAAUACUCAAAUUUGUUUAUUCAUACACUGGAUUCUUGACUGUAGCAAAAAAGUAGUAAGUUCUAAGUUACAAGUAAAUGCUGAAAGCAGUGGCGGACCCAGCUAGGGUCAAGUGGGGGCAGUGGACCCCCAAUCUGAAAAAAAAAUAAAUGAGUUUUUUUUAAAAAAAAGAAAAAGUUACUGUUGGCGACCAUACUUCCCGUCGCUAAUCACCUUUAAAAAAAAAAUAAAAAUAUGUAAAGAGGGCAGCGUGCUGGAGAAGCCAAAAACAAAAACGAACGCUAACCCUAAACCAUUACUGCUGCAUCACCAUUACUCUCUCUUCUCUCUCUAGUCUCGCCUCUUCCAGUCUUCCUUCUCCAAAUCUCCACCGCCAACCGGCACCGGGCACCGGCCAAGUUUCUCCAGUCUUCCAGUCUAGCCUUCGACAUUCGACAAUCGACAGUAAACAGUUCGAGUGUUGUGUUCCAGUUCGACCUUCGAUUAAUCGAUUCCCACUGCUUCCAGCUUCUUCCUCUUCCUCUUCAAUUCCAUACUUCGAUUCGAGCCUUCGACAAUUCCAUACUGUUCGAGCCUUCGAUUCACUGACUGUUCGACUGUUCGAGCCUUCGUCGCUUCCUCUUCCUCUUCAAUUCCAUACUUCGACAGUACACUUCGUCACUUGUGAGUUCCAUGCUUCCGUUACUUAUUUAAUUGUUAAUUUGUAAUUGUAAUUGUUAAAUUGUUUAAUUGUUUCAUAGCUUCAUUAGUUCAUUGUUAAUUUGUUUAAUUGUUUUGUUUCAUAAUAUCAAUCUCUUGCCAUUUUUCUCUUAAUUUUCAAAAGAUUUGAGUUAUAAUGACAAAGAAACCAAUACCCAGUGUUAUCAAUGGAAAUGAGUCAUCUUUGAUUCUUGAUAGUUAAAUUGUUUGUUUGUUAUCAGUUAAAUAUUUAGUUAAAUUGUUUGUUUAAUUGAAUAAUUUGUUUGGUUCAUUGGUUGCAAGUUGUUACUUGAUAGUUUGAAUAAUUAGAUUGAAUAAUUGAGUCAUAUUUUAGAAGUAUUGAGUCAUAAUUGAGUCAUAUUGAAUACCAAGUGGUUUUAAGAAUUCCCCUGCAAAUUCUAGUGUUACAUCAACUCCAUUAAGGUUCUUUAAGCGCCCAUCUCUCCCUCCUUCUCCAGCAAAGCACAUUCGGGCUUUGUUGGCCCGAAGACAUGGGUCUGUUAAGCCUAAUGAGGCCUCAAUCCCUGAAGGGAGUGAAUGUGAUAUUGGAUUGGAUAAGAAUUUUGGGUUUUCAAAACAAUUUUUUGAUCAUUAUGAAUUUGGGGAAGAAGUAGGAAGAGGACAUUUUGGGUAUACUUGUGCUGGUAAAGGGAAGAAAGGUAGCUUAAAGGGGCAAGAUGUUGCUGUCAAAGUCAUCCCCAAAGCAAAGGUUCUUUUCUUUUUGCUAAUUUUUUUGAUUUAUUUUAGUUUCUUGUGUAGUUUUAUUGAGUCUUGUGUGUUUUUUGUCAUAUAGAUUUGUAUGUCAAUGAGGUUUGGGUUAAUUUCUUGAUCUGAUUGCUGAUUAGAAGUAUUAAUUUUGGGUAUUUUAAAUUCCCUUUUGCCUAAAUCAUUGUAUAAUUUUGCAAAGUGGCCUAGAAUUCGCUUUUUUCGGUUUGCAAUGUCUGUUUAUGAUGAAUUUUAUUUGGAUUCAAUCCCCCUCUUUAGUUUGUUUGCUUAAUUAGUUGGUAUUGUCAAGGCUAGAUGAUGAUGACUUUAACUACCCAUUUGGUUGUUGGUAUUAGACUGUGGGAAUGGUAAUGAAAAUACUUCUAUAAUGUAAUACUUGAUAGUUGUUAAUUGAAUGAUUGUUUGGUUACUUACAUUGAGAAGGAAGUGUUUCUACAAGUUUCUGAUGAAAAGAUUAUUGAUCGCUUUAAAAUUAUGAAAACUCGAAGGAUGAAUUUGUAAUUUUCAUUUGAACGCUUGUAUUUUUUUUUUUUAAUAUUUUGGAUUGUAAAACUUUUAACAUCGGAUUUGAUAUUGUAAAUUGUAAAUAUUGUUUCUA